CGAAAGCCUGACGGAGCAAUACCGCGUGAGGGAGGAAGGUUCUUGGAUUGUAAACCUCUUUUCUAGGGGAAUAAAAAAAUGAAGGUACCCUAGGAAUAAGCAUCGGCUAACUCCGUGCCAGCAGCCGCGGUAAUACGGAGGAUGCAAGCGUAAUCCGGAAUUAUUGGGCGUAAAGAGUCCGUAGGUGGAAGUUCAAGUCUGCUGUUAAAGAAUGGAGCUUAACUCCAUAGAGGCGGUGGAAACUGAGCAACUAGAGUGCGGUAGGGGUAACGGGAAUUCCCAGUGUAGCGGUGAAAUGCGUAGAUAUGGGAAAGAACAUCGGUGGCGAAAGCGCGUUACUGGGCCGAAACUGACACUGAGGGACGAAAGCUAGGGGAGC
RNAcentral lists this ribosomal RNA (379 nucleotides) under uncultured cyanobacterium. RNAcentral's name for it is "bacterial SSU rRNA". It matches the Rfam family "Bacterial small subunit ribosomal RNA", at positions 376 to 769 of the family's 1533-position model. Lineage: Bacteria; Bacillati; Cyanobacteriota. The record is from RNAcentral.